Molecule: non-coding RNA, 994 nt
Organism: Pelodiscus sinensis (Chinese soft-shelled turtle)
Lineage: Eukaryota; Metazoa; Chordata; Testudines; Trionychidae
Source: RefSeq, a predicted model, not a curated record
UUUUUGGAGGACGUAACAGCUCCUGUGGUGCCUGGCUGGCGAAGAGAGAUGUUAAGCCAAGGAGCCAGCAGUGUACGCCACUGAAGUAUUCAAACACACAGUGACAGGACAGCACAUCUGUGAGUGCUGUGGGCUAGUGAGCUACUGAAGGGGUCCUGGAAAACACUCUCUUCCCUGAAAUGCUAUAGGACUUACUGCUACAGGGAAAGUUUGCAGCUAUGAGGGGAUCAUUGGAAUCAGCACUGCCCGGAAUACAACCCAGUCCUCAGGCAACACCGUGAUCCUCGCUCCUCCUGCAGCACUGCCUGCACCAAGGAGCCUGGCUGGAUGGCUCUUCCUUUGAAGUCCCAUCAAGUUCCAGGGAGAGAAGAGAAAAAAGCAGCAGAAUUUGGAGCCUCAGGAGACCCAGGAAGAAUGGCAAGCCCAUGCGACACAAAUCCAGAGUCCUGUAUUAGCCAGGAGACCCCAGGACUGGCUUCUAUCCUGUAACUUCUGUACUGAGAUCAAUGUGUUCAGAUUUCAAAAGACAGAAACCCCAUGAGGCCUCUAUCACAUGCUGUGCUGAAUGAGCAGCGCCUCAAGUCAGUCAGGGAGAAAACAUGCCUCCGCAGGAAGUGUGGAGUCAGCAGCAGAAUAGGGAAAAGGCUGCGAAAGUGAUAAACACCAUGAAUAUGACAGUGAGUUGCCUGGCUUAAGCAACCCCUUCUGAAAGAUCCACUGCUUCCCAUUCCCCCUCACAGCUUAGAACAGUGGUCCCCAACCUUUUGGGGCUGCCGGGCUCCCGGGGGCAGGGCUACUCACGCACCAGGCACCCGGGGGCAGGGCCACACACGCACCCAGGGGCGGGGCUACCCAUACGGUGCGCACCUGGUGCUGGCGCCACCUAUGUGCCGCAUUCCUGGGGCCAGCGCCUGUGUCGCGCGCCCAGGGGUAGGACUGCCCAUAUGCCAUGCGCUGGGGCUGGAACAGCCCAUGCGCCGCACACCUGGGGACA